AGAGUUUGAUCAUGGCUCAGAACGAACGCUGGCGGCAGGCCUAACACAUGCAAGUCGAGCGCCCGCAAGGGAGCGGCAGACGGGUGAGUAACGCGUGGGAACGUGCCCUUUGGUUCGGAAUAUUCCCGGGAAACUGGGAGCAAAACCGGAUAAGCCCUUCGGGGGAAAGUUUACGCCAAAGGAUCGGCCCGCGUUAGAUUAGGUAGUUGGUGGGGUAACGGCCUACCAAGCCUACGAUCUAUAGCUGAUCUGAGAGGAUGAUCAGCCACACUGGGACUGAGACACGGCCCAGACUCCUACGGGAGGCAGCAGUGGGGAAUAUUGCACAAUGGGCGCAAGCCUGAUGCAGCGACGCCGCGUGGAUGACUGAAGGCCCUAGGGUUGUAAAGUCCUUUCGACGGGGACGAUAAUGACGGUACCCGUAGAAGAAGCCCCGGCUAACUUCGUGCCAGCAGCCGCGGUAAUACGAAGGGGGCUAGCGUUGUUCGGAUUUACUGGGCGUAAAGGGCGCGUAGGCGGAUUUUUAAGUCGGGGGUGAAAUCCCGGAGCUCAACUCCGGAACUGCCUUCGAUACUGAAAGUCUGGAGCACGGUAGAGGUGAGUGGAAUUCCGAGUGUAGAGGUGAAAUUCGUAGAUAUUCGGAGGAACACCAGUGGCGAAGGCGGCUCACUGGACCGUUGCUGACGCUGAGGCGCGAAAGCGUGGGGAGCAAACAGGAUUAGAUACCCCGGUAGUCC
Molecule: ribosomal RNA, 737 nt
Filed under: uncultured bacterium
Lineage: Bacteria
Description: bacterial SSU rRNA
Rfam family: Bacterial small subunit ribosomal RNA
Source: RNAcentral